UAAAGACACUUUCUAGUAGGGAGGAAGGUAGUGUAGUUAACACCUGCAUUAUUUGACGUUACCUACAGAAGAAGCACCGGCUAACUACCGUGCCAGCAGCCGCGGUAAUACGGAGGGUGCGAGCGUUAAUCGGAAGUUACUGGGCGGUAAAGACGCAUGCAGGCGGCCUGUUAAGUUACAGAUGUGAAAAGCCCCGGGGCUUAACCUCGGAAUUGCAUUUGAAACUGGCAGGCUAGAGUCUUGUAGAGGGGGUAGAAUUUCAGGUGUAGCGGUGAAAUGCGUAGAGAUCUGAAGGAAUACCAGUGGCGAAGGCGGCCCCCUGGACAAAGACUGACGCUCAGAUGCGAAAGCGUGGGGAGCAAACAGGAUUAGAUACCCUGGUAG
RNAcentral lists this ribosomal RNA (384 nucleotides) under uncultured bacterium. RNAcentral's name for it is "bacterial SSU rRNA". It matches the Rfam family "Bacterial small subunit ribosomal RNA", at positions 424 to 793 of the family's 1533-position model. The record is from RNAcentral.